UAUUUAGAAGCUUUGCUUUUGGAUAUCUUAGUGGCGGACGGGCGAGUAACGCGUGAGCAACCUGUCCUUCAGAGGGGGACAACGGCUGGAAACGGCCGCUAAUACCGCAUGACAUAUCCGGAUGGCAUCGUCUGGAUAUCAAAGGAGAAAUCCGCUGAAGGGUGGGCUCGCGUCCGAUUAGCUAGUUGGUAGGGUAACGGCCUACCAAGGCGACGAUCGGUAGCCGAACUGAGAGGUUGAUCGGCCGCAUUGGGACUGAGACACGGCCCAGACUCC
Molecule: ribosomal RNA, 276 nt
Filed under: uncultured bacterium
Lineage: Bacteria
Description: partial 16S ribosomal RNA
Rfam family: Bacterial small subunit ribosomal RNA
Source: RNAcentral